AAGCAGAAGAAGAAGCAAAGCAGCAAAAAAAAAAUGAAAUAAAAAGAUCAAAAUGUAGACUUCUUCAUAUGACUUCCUGUUGCAAUCAUUGUUGUUGUUAUU
RNAcentral lists this non-coding RNA (102 nucleotides) under Heterosigma akashiwo. The record is from RNAcentral. Lineage: Eukaryota; Raphidophyceae; Chattonellales; Chattonellaceae.